This 229-nucleotide ribosomal RNA is filed under the name uncultured bacterium. RNAcentral describes it as "partial 16S ribosomal RNA". It matches the Rfam family "Bacterial small subunit ribosomal RNA", at positions 15 to 235 of the family's 1533-position model. The record is from RNAcentral.
GAUCCUGGCUCAGGAUGAACGCUAGCUACAGGCUUAACACAUGCAAGUCGAGGGGCAGCAUGGUCUUAGCUUGCUAAGGCCGAUGGCGACCGGCGCACGGGUGAGUAACACGUAUCCAACCUGCCGUCUACGUCUUGGACAGCCUUCUGAAAGGAAGAUUAAUACAAGAUGGCAUCGUGAGUUCACAUGUUCACAUGAUUAAAGGUAUUCCGGUAGACGAUGGGAUGCG